UAGUAAAAUAUUUGUUUUCUGUAUUAACUUUUUUGGUGAAAAAAUCAGUCUUAAAUUACAUUAAGUACGAAAAAACUUGGCUCUGAUUUAUUAGUAUGGCAGAAACUAAGGAAUACACAUGGUUUUUUUAGAAAGAGACGAGGUAGUAAAAGAAAUAGCUUGAAAUAUAAAAUUUAAAGCAUAUUCUGUUAUUAGGGUAUUAUAGUUAUAAAGAAUGCCUUGAAAAGUCCCGUUAGCACCAGUGUUGAAGUUUAAUUUAAGGGUGAAAGCCUGUAUUAAUUUAGUAAAUAAAAUUUGGUUAACUUGGUGCCAGCAUCCGCGGUUAUACCAAGAAAUUAAGUCAUAUUUUUUGGUAAAAAGACAGUUAGGCCUUAAAAUCUUAAGGUUAUUUAAUUUUUUAUGAAGAAGUAAAAUUUGAACAUAGAUUUUUAAUUCUAUAAUAACUUAUAAGCCGAAUCUGUGAAAACCUUGAGGGAAACUGGGAUUAGAUACCCCAUUAUUCUUGGAUUAAAAUGAAAAUAUAUUUUACCGGAGUACUAUGAAUAGACAAAUUUAAAACUCAAAGGGCUUGGCGGUGUUUUAGACCACUCAGGGGAACCUGUCUCAUAAUCGAUAGUCCACGUUAAACCUAACCUUUUUUUGCUAUUUACAGCUUGUAUACCGUUGUCGUCAGGUAACUUUUUAGAAACUAAAAGUUAGCUAAAAGUAUGAUAUGCUGAAACGUCAAAUCAAGGUGCAGCUCAUAAAGAGGAGAGGAUGGGUUACAAUUAUUAAAUCAUAAUACGAAAAACUUUUAGAAUUAAUAGUAUUGAAGGAGGACUUGAAAGUAAACUGAAUUAUAUAAAUAUCUUGAAUAAGGCUCUGAAACGUGCACACAUCGCCCGUCGCUCUUGUUGAAAAAUAAGAUAAGUCGUAACAUAGUAGGGGUAAUGGAAAUUGUCCCUAAAUU
This 949-nucleotide non-coding RNA is filed under the name Comitas murrawolga. Its description in RNAcentral is "partial small subunit ribosomal RNA". The stretch from base 237 to 949 matches the Rfam family "Microsporidia small subunit ribosomal RNA". The record is from RNAcentral. Lineage: Eukaryota; Metazoa; Mollusca; Gastropoda; Neogastropoda; Turridae.